GAUGAAGAACGUAGCGAAAUGCGAUAAGUAAUGUGAAUUGCAGAAUUCAGUGAAUCAUCGAAUCUUUGAACGCACAUUGCGCCCGCUGGUAUUCCGGCGGACAUGCCUGUUCGAGCGUCAUUUCAACCCUCAAGCUCUCCGGAGUUUGGUGUUGGGGCGCCUGGGGCUUUUCGACCUCAGGGCCCUCAAGUCCAUCGGCGGGACCGCCAGGACACUGAGCGCAGUAGUAUUAUUUCGCUCGGUAGGAUCUUCCACGGCGGGUCGAUCUGGCCGCUAAACCCCCCAAUUCUCACCAAAGGUUGACCUCGGAUCAGGUAGGAAUACCCGCUGAACUUAAGCAUAUCAAUAAGCGGAGGA
Molecule: unclassified non-coding RNA, 357 nt
Filed under: soil metagenome
Description: partial contains 5.8S ribosomal RNA, internal transcribed spacer 2, and large subunit ribosomal RNA
Rfam family: 5.8S ribosomal RNA (bases 1-120)
Source: RNAcentral